AUUGCCAAUGUCAUUAUUCUAAAAACUUUACCCUUAGGUUUAAUUAACAGCUGAUAGGUUUAUGCCAUAUAUAGCUGGUUUCAUUAUUUGGCACUAUUCAUCUUUAUGAAAUAUAAGCUGCAGCACUUUCUCUCAUUUUCUCCCUAUAUUCUAUCAUGGUAUAAAAGUUCAUCCUUGGCAGGUUCAAUCUCUCUCAAAUCUUGGCUUCAGAAUCUUCUGCCUUCAUAACAUCUCCACCCUGUUUUUCUGUUUUCCUUGCAUAUGCUGAACAAUUUCUUGAUUCUGAAGCUUUGCAUACCUGAAUUGCUCUUCAUUCUUUGAAUUCUUUCGGAUUUACCUUCAUCUCCUGACCUGUUAUCGCACAUCAAUUUUCAAUUUAUCGACCUAUUUUAGAUCUGCUAUUCUCUUGAUCGGCAGUUUUGAAUCAGACCCUUCUUCGUUUAUUCGUGAUCCAAAAUCCUCUGUAAAUCAGACCCUCUACUCCUGAUCUUGUCCAUGGAUUCUGCCAAUUCUUCCACCGAUGCCAACACAUUUCAGUUUUCUUCUCCUCCUAUACCUCCACUUAAAUUCCUUAUGGGAAACAUUAAAAAUCUGGUCACAACUCAAUUAACCACAUAUAAUUUUCCCAUUUAGCAUUCUCAGAUUUACAAAUUAUUCAAAGCUAAUGGGUUUGAAUUCCUUCUUGAUGGGAACCUCAAUCUGCCCUCUUCCGUUAACCAAUGAUAAUUUGGUUAACAACGCCCACUAUAGCUGGAAACUAAUCGAUCAAAACCUCGCUGCAGCUCUUUAUUCCAAUAUCUCUUCAUCUAUCUUUUCUCAUGUGUUAAAUCUUGAUACUUCUAUCAUUAUUUGGAGAACUUUGUCAAAAAGAUUUCAAACCUCAAGUAGAUUUGGGGUCAUACAACUCAAGAAUGAGCUUCAUAACAUCUCUAUGAAAACAAACUCCAUGAAUCAAUAUUUGAUCGAAAUCAAAACUUUGGUGGAUCAAAUAGUUGCUGCCGGUUCCCAUGUUGAUUCUGAAGAUAUUAUCUUUUAUAUCUUAAAUGGUCUUCCCACCUCCUAUAAUUUUUUCAAAACUUCUAUUCACACGAGGUUUGAACCCAUUUCUCUAGAAGAUCUUUAUGCUCUCUUAUGCAGCGAGGAAAUUCACUUAGCCACCAUCGUCGCAAAGGAACAAAGCUUAUAGCUCAGCUAACGCUGUUUUCCAAUAGGGGUCACGGUCGUACCAACUUCUGAAAUAGAAGAGGAAGAUCGUCAACGAAUUCCACGUCGAUCGGUCGACCAAGAUCUUCAACUGCUUGUCAAAUUUGUGGAAAGAUAGAGCACGCCACCUUCUCCUAUCGGCAUUGGUCCAACUUAGCGAGCUUCGUCACUUAUGACACCCAACUACAACAAUAUUCAGCAACCACAAUCAUAUAGUGGUAAUGAAUAUCUUGAGAUUGGCAACGGCGAGAGUCUUCUCAUUCAGCAUAGUGGCCAAGGAAUCUUACCAACUCCAAACCGUAAAUUUCUUCUUAAGAGACUUUUACUUGCUUCUCCUAUCUCUCAUAACUUAAUAUUUGUGCAUAACUUUGUUCGGGACAAUAAUUGCUCAUUUUAAUUCGAUUUAACUGAGUAUCAAAUAAAGGAUCCCAAAACGAACAACCAACUUCUCACUGGACGCGCCAAACAAAGUCUACUCGGUUAAUCCUCAAGAAGACAGCAGAAAGCACGCUCUCCAUACUCCAGUUAUAUCGAACACUGAUUGGCACCAAAAGCUCGGGCAUCUCAAUGCUGAAGUACUCAA
Molecule: RNA transcript, 1786 nt
Organism: Phalaenopsis equestris
Lineage: Eukaryota; Viridiplantae; Streptophyta; Magnoliopsida; Asparagales; Orchidaceae
Exons: 2
Source: RefSeq, a predicted model, not a curated record